RNAcentral lists this long non-coding RNA (1541 nucleotides) under Canis lupus familiaris (dog). RNAcentral describes it as "lncRNA (ENSCAFG00000054141.1, ENSCAFG00805026340.1, ENSCAFG00845010140.1)". Lineage: Eukaryota; Metazoa; Chordata; Mammalia; Carnivora; Canidae. The record is from RNAcentral.
UUUUUUUUUUUUUGAAAAGAAUCCUCAGGUGUACAUGUAUGAUAUUUAAACUAAACUCCCUAAAGCUGAAUAUGCUUUAUCUUCAAACAGCAGAGAGGAGGGAGGUGAGUUGAAAUCUUCAAAUAUAUAUAGAUUCAUGGCUAGCUUCAACUGAACUCCUGCCCUUGUCAACUCGUUUAGAACACAAUUUUCCAAAUGCCACUGCUUUCUGGGAUUCAGGGGAGGGUAAGAGAGCUCUUUCAUUUCAUUAGAUUUGUGUCAACUCCAUUCUGAGUUUCUAGCAAUGGGGACUCUUGGAAAAAUAUGCUGAGCUCCCCUUUGGGGCUGGGCUGCUGCAAGUCUGGCACCACAAAGCACUGAAAGUAAAUAAAAUGGCUCAUAUUGUGCUCCAGGCACGAGGGAGCCCAAGAGAUAGGACAAGAAAUCCAGUGGAUGUGCCCAGACUCUACCUCCAAUUGCAUGCUGCUGUUUUCUCAACCGUCAGAGCUGUAGCCAUGGCCAAAUUGCACACUUGGAGCCAAAUCCUCCCUCUGCUCUGUGUAGGCAACUUCAUCCAAAGUCAGUAGGUGUGGAAUGCAUAUCUAAAAGUGACAUUUGGCAAUACUGGCAUUUAGUUCUCUUAUCGACCACAUACUUACUAUGCAGUAAGUGCCUUUCUACCAAUUUCUGCACAAACGUGAGCCUGUUUGCUAUUAUCAGAUGGCAGUGCUUGCUGUACAAUUUCCUCACUUUUUAAAGCUUUUUGUGUUUUGCCAGUCAGGAGCACAUUUUGCAAGUCCCUGGUAAACACAAAUGUACUUUCUCCUUGGCUUAAACACUUGUGGAAGCCAGAUGAAAGAAAUAGCUCCCAGGGAAAGCUCAGGAUCUCAUCAGCUCAUCAAUGAAGUUGAUUCUGCUUCUCCAGUCAGGUUUUGAAGGGAUUGUGUUUCCUUAAUUGAAGAAGUAGAAGUGCAGAAGAGGGUAAGUGAAGAAAAGUGCUGAAGGUUCAUCUCAUGGAGAAGUAUUUUCUGAUCCUUCUCUCAGCUCUCCUUCCUCAGGCUGAGUUGGUGGUUUCUACUUCUUGUGUGCAUCUCACAUCCUAUUGUGUAGGAGUGGAACUUAACAGGUACACAGGUCUCCCACUGUCUAGUGUGUGCUCCCUGAGGCAGGUCCAACGUAGCAUGUGUCUCCAUAUUGCUGGCAUGUAGCAAGGGGUCUGGCAGUCAGGUCAAGAAAAAUGUGUUCUCUCCCUACUCUGUGUUAGGCACUGCAUCUCUGCCCAGGAAAUAGGAGGGGGUUGCAUACUUUUACUCCUUGAGGAACUUAGAGUAUAAUCAGGACACGGAUGCUUAAGCAUAACAUUCAUGCACAAUGUGAAUCGAGGUUAUAUAGAGUAUGACCAGGGUGCCAAAGGGAAUACAGCAGAUGUGUGUGUAAUCCUGGUGGCAUAGUCCAAGAAGACCGCUGGGAGAGGACUAUGCCAGAGCUGAAUGCUGACCAUAAACAGGAAUUACAUUAAGAAUGAGCAGGACAGGGAUUUCUAGACAUGGGGAGAGUUCUCA